This 465-nucleotide ribosomal RNA is filed under the name Vreelandella stevensii. RNAcentral describes it as "partial 16S ribosomal RNA". It matches the Rfam family "Bacterial small subunit ribosomal RNA", at positions 338 to 795 of the family's 1533-position model. Lineage: Bacteria; Pseudomonadati; Pseudomonadota; Gammaproteobacteria; Oceanospirillales; Halomonadaceae. The record is from RNAcentral.
CCUACGGGAGGCUGCAGUGGGGAAUAUUGGACAAUGGGGGCAACCCUGAUCCAGCCAUGCCGCGUGUGUGAAGAAUGCCCUCGGGUUGUAAAGCACUUUCAGUGAGGAAGAACGCCUGGUGGUUAAUACCCAUCAGGAAAGACAUCACUCACAGAAGAAGCACCGGCUAACUCCGUGCCAGCAGCCGCGGUAAUACGGAGGGUGCGAGCGUUAAUCGGAAUUACUGGGCGUAAAGCGCGCGUAGGUGGCUUGAUAAGCCGGUUGUGAAAGCCCCGGGCUCAACCUGGGAACGGCAUCCGGAACUGUCAAGCUAGAGUGCAGGAGAGGAAGGUAGAAUUCCCGGUGUAGCGGUGAAAUGCGUAGAGAUCGGGAGGAAUACCAGUGGCGAAGGCGGCCUUCUGGACUGACACUGACACUGAGGUGCGAAAGCGUGGGUAGCAAACAGGAUUAGAUACCCUUGUAGUC